UGGGGAAUAUUGGACAAUGGGGGCAACCCUGAUCCAGCCAUGCCGCGUGAGUGAAGAAGGCCUUCGGGUUGUAAAGCUCUUUUGGCGGGGACGAUGAUGACGGUACCCGCAGAAUAAGCCCCGGCUAACUUCGUGCCAGCAGCCGCGGUAAGACGAAGGGGGCUAGCGUUGUUCGGAAUUACUGGGCGUAAAGGGCGCGUAGGCGGUUUGUUAAGUCAGGCGUGAAAGCCCUGGGCUCAACCUGGGAUGUGCGUUUGAUACUGGCAAGCUUGAGUGCAGGAGAGGAUGGUGGAAUUCCCAGUGUAGAGGUGAAAUUCGUAGAUAUUGGGAAGAACACCGGUGGCGAAGGCGGCCAUCUGGACUGCAACUGACGCUGAGGCGCGAAAGCGUGGGGAGCAAACAGGAUUAGAUACCCUGGUAGUCCACGCUGUAAACGAUGAGUGCUGGACGUUGGCGGGUUUACCUGCCGGUGUCGCAGCUAACGCGUUAAGCACUCCGCCUGGGGAGUACGGCCGCAAGGUUAA
RNAcentral lists this ribosomal RNA (524 nucleotides) under uncultured Rhodospirillales bacterium. Its description in RNAcentral is "bacterial SSU rRNA". It matches the Rfam family "Bacterial small subunit ribosomal RNA", at positions 355 to 897 of the family's 1533-position model. The record is from RNAcentral. Lineage: Bacteria; Pseudomonadati; Pseudomonadota; Alphaproteobacteria; Rhodospirillales.